UACAGAGGUGGCAAGCGUUGCUCGGUAUCACUGGGCUUAAAGGGCGCGUAGGCGGUGCGGUACGGUUUCGGUGAAAUCCCUCGGCCCAACCGAGGAACAGCCGGAGCUACGGCCGGACUAGACGGCAUCAGGGGACAGUGGAACUCCCGGUGGAGCGGUGAAAUGCGUAGAUAUCGGGAGGAACGCCGGUGGCGAAAGCGACUGUCUGGGGUGCCUGUGACGCUGAGGCGCGAAAGCCAGGGGAGCAAACGGG
Molecule: ribosomal RNA, 253 nt
Filed under: uncultured bacterium
Lineage: Bacteria
Description: partial 16S ribosomal RNA
Rfam family: Bacterial small subunit ribosomal RNA
Source: RNAcentral